GAAGUGUCCCUAGAGGGGACAAAAAUCCAUCCCAGGACACAAAGCAUAUCUAAGGCCAGAAUGCCACCCAAUUCUAACAUUCCUGCAAGUUUCUGUGGUUUAUUUUGCCAUUAAUACACAUUUGAAAUCUGAAUUUUCCUCUAUUAUCUUGCCCAUAUUAUCUUGUCCGUUAUUUUCCAUGUUAUCUUGUCCUGUUCCUGUCGCAGCUCUGAGCAGUUCCCUGGGCUGGGGAAGGUCAGAAAUCAAGUGUUUGUUCACAGAAAUCCUCCUGGGAAGGGGCAGGUCUCCCAUUCCACUCUUGUCAUUAAUAUAAAGCUACAGAACUUGUGUGAGCUGGAAACUAAACCUGCUUGGAAGGGGGAAAUGCAGCUACAGAUGGUUUUUAAAAGGAUCUUGCCAAAUUCUGGGAUGAGACAAGCACGAGAAGACCUUCCUGGAGGGAACUGCUCAGGCCUCAGGAGCAACCACUGGGACAAAUUAAAUCCCUUAUGGUGGCUCAGACUUUAUUCACUCCUCUAUCCUUUGGCAGAUCCAGAAUAUGCACAAAUUAAAAGAGAUUUUCUCUAGAUUUACACCAAUCUGAAGCAGGAAUUGAUCUGCUGUCUGUAUGAACCUGUUGUUCAGUGGAAUAUCCUUAAAAAUGGGAGUCACAGUCAUUUCCUCUGCUGAUUUUGGGCUUCUGGGGGUGCUGGAUAAAAUAUAUUUUUUUUUUCACCCAAAAAGAUCCAAAAAUAUUCAAGAUUAAUUUGGAUAAAAUAAUUAAAAAAAUAAACAAAGCAGCUUGUUUUAUCCAGGGAGAGUCCUUGUUCUUUCCCCAAACCUCUCUGUGGUAACUGAGUCCAAAGAGUGAUGGUGUGGCUGUUGAUAGGGAUCAGUCUCUCCAUCAAGCAGAAUAAUCAUGUAAUCAAAUGAAAAGAGAAAAAAAAAAUAGCCCCUAAAUGUUUCUCAUGCAUGAGGCACCUUGAGCCUGUCAGGAGGAAUAAUUGCCAAACGAUGCAGCAGCACCCGACUCGCUGAGCUCUGUGUCAGCUCCAACUGGGAGGGAAAUAAUACACUGAAUUUAAGGGUCGAGGCUCCUUGAAUUCCAACGUUGUUUUAAUGAAAUACUUCACCUGUCACAAGUGCCAAAACGUGUCAUUAUUGUACAGUCACGUCAAGGGAGGGCUGAGCAUCCUUUACCCAACCUGUUUCUGCAUCCCAAACUACCCGGAGCAACCCUCUAUCAGGGGGAAUCUGAUCUUCCCAAAGGAAAAACAACAUUACUCCAAAUAGCUGGAAAAGAGGAACCUCAAAGGGAAGGAAGAAAGUUUUCUGAAGUGCCCAGUUCUUCCCCCAAAUUUAUGGGCUGGUUUUAAAUCUCACUUUUGUGCUGUUGUAGGAUUUCAGUCCCCAAAUUUGAAAACUCCUGAGGGGUGGACACGUUGAAAACAUUAAUCCACCUACAGGAAUAUGAUCCUAUAAAUUUCAGCCUCCCAGGACAGGAUCCUCAGACAGCAUCAGCUGGGAGGCAAGAGGAACAAGUUUUCCACCUGAGCAGAGAUGUGGGGUGGAUCAACAUCUCCUUGGCUUUGCCUGGUGAGGAUUUUGAGUCUUGUUGGAGGCAUCAACUCCCCCUUUACAAACUAGCUGAAAGGAGAACAUACACUAUUAGUAACUGAUCCAUAAACAUCCCCUGCAGAUGACAACUGUACAUUGAAAAUUUUCAUUUUGGAGAGUGAAAAACAAAUCCAGUCGUGCUGAGGGCUCCAGAAAAGUCAUGACCCUUGUUCACAUUGAGCUGGUGGUGGCAGCAGCAUGAGAGAUGUGCUGUGGGUGAUGGUUCUCCCAGUGACUCACUCCUGGCCUCGAGCAAAGCACUUAAUGUGUCCAGGGCUCACCUCAAAAAAGGGCCAGUGUUGCUUUUCUCAGGGUAAUUCUCCUGAAUUAACGUCUGAGAGAUGCUUCCAGUUCCUAAAAUAAAAGAUGCCUCCAAGAAUUCAGCAUUUGCCAGGGAAAAUCAGAAUUCCUACAGCUGAUGCAAACGGAGUUUGAGAUUCUGCAGUCUCCUUCUGUUCCACGCAGAGAAACCCUGAGUUUCUUAAAAAAUGGAAGAGGGAAUUGAUUAUAUUUUUUUGGAAUUAAUGCUGCAGUCAAAGGAGGAUGACAGUGAAUUUGUUAUAUUAGAGACACAUUAUACCUCUGAUAUUCACUGCAGCACCACCUUUGGGAGCCUGGGAUAAAUGAGGACUUUUUAGUGGCAAAUCUUUGUGUGUUGUGAAGGUUCCUGGUCACAGAGGUGCUGCUUUUCCAGGGAUUUCCUUUCAGUGAGCACAGCUGACCAAAGUACCUCUCCAAAUGCAGCCCCUGAGACUUCUCAUCCCCUCUGGAGGUGACUCCAGUGAAGAUCUCCCAGCGUUUCAUGGGAAUUCUGGUGCAGGGAGAGGCAGGGAACUGGCACUGGGGUGACAGGAGGGGUGGUGGGAGGGGGGGAUGCUGACAAGUGCCAAGGAGAGGCUUUGCUGUGCAGAGCCAUCAAUCCUCCUGCUCCUGCUUGAUUGCCUUUGGCAGAAUACAAGGCUGGGAAGACUUCAGAUAAAUCAAGGAGCUGGUUGUCUCCUGGCUCUGCUUCCACAGGGAUAUGGAAUGGGUGAAGCUCCUGCCUCUGCUGUCCCCUAAGGUGGCCAAGCAGUGGCUUCCCAAAUCAGUGAGGUGCAGUUUGUACCAGUGCCCAACCGACCCCUAGAACCUGCAUUUCCACUUUCUGCUUUUUGAUUGUUUCUGAUUUAUUUUCCUGGGGUUUUGUGUUCGUUUUGAUCUGUGUACCCUCUGGGGAAGGUGAGGAGCAAUCGUGGUACAAACAGCUUUCCAUGAGGGAGUGAGGUUGCUGCAGUUUUGCAAGUUUUAUUGUCUCAACUAGAUUCUGAAAGCACCAGAAGCAGCUCCCCUCUCAGCUUUCCUCCCUAAAAAAAUAAGAGGGAAAAAAACAGGAUCAUUUUUUCUCUGACCAACCUCCAGUAUCUCUUAAAGAACUGAAUUGUUAAAAACUAUUAAAAGCAGAGCAAAAGGAGAAAAAUAAACCCCUGGUGUUGCUAAGUGAGUGGAAAACAGAUCUAUAGAAUCUACAAUGGUUUGAGUUGGAAGGGACCUUCAAGACCAUCUCAUUCCAUCCCCUGCCAUGGGCAGGGACACC
Molecule: long non-coding RNA, 3169 nt
Organism: Corapipo altera (White-ruffed manakin)
Lineage: Eukaryota; Metazoa; Chordata; Aves; Passeriformes; Pipridae
Exons: 6
Source: RefSeq, a predicted model, not a curated record